Molecule: long non-coding RNA, 934 nt
Filed under: Mytilus galloprovincialis (Mediterranean mussel)
Lineage: Eukaryota; Metazoa; Mollusca; Bivalvia; Mytilida; Mytilidae
Source: RNAcentral
UAUAUCGCGGCGAUCCCCCUUUUAUAAGAAAAAAUCUGGAUCCGCCACUGAAUGAUAUAUGAAAGCUUCUAAUUCCCCUAGAUACAUCAGGCAUAAAUCUUAUUCAAAAGUCAAUAGGAGAUUUGUUUACUGAAUUAUCCGCUGAACUUCCUUAAAAGUUACAGACUUCUGACCAUGUGACCCUGACAACAACAGGUAGCCGGAUCUGUAAAGUAACCUCUUUCCAUAGCCCGUUGGCAGCAUGACCGUGAUGACCAUUCAAUCUUUGUGCCCCAAAAUACUUUGCAAACUUUGUGUUUGCUCACAAUUUAGCCCUAGAACUGUGUACUGAUGCAAAUUUUCUAAUAAUGCGUUUUCGAAAUCGCCUUCUAUCCUGCUGCGUCGCCAUCUUUAACAGAUUCUUAUGUCGUUUUUAUUAGGUUCAGUUCAGUUCAGUUUCUUGUAUAUAAAAUGCAUUAGUAUUAAAAAAAAAAACAUACUAUAGAUUCUUUAUCUACGUAUUCUUUAAGAACUUAAAUAGUUCUCGUUUAACUUUUUUUUUUUUUUUAUCUCAUUUUGUAUUGUAUUAUGAAAAAUUAUUGAUGUUGUAAUGUUUAUGCCCUUUGGGGCCCAUAAUUGGAAAAUAAAAUAUCUUAUCUUAUCUUAUCUGUAUAUUCCUCCAUUAAUUGUGGAGCACUACCCAAAGGGUAUAGUUUUAGCAACUAUGUACACCUUAAAACAUAAGGAAACAAAUAAUUAUAUACAGAUGACUGAAUUUGGUUAUAAUAAUCACUAAAUGAUAAAUAUCAUAAUUAAUUCAAUGGAUUGUCAUCAUAAAGUUUUAUUAGGAGGGUUUUGAUUGGUCAAUAUAAAUACUUUCUGGGGUCAAAUAUUACGCAAUAAAAGUUCACAAAAGUGAAACCUCAUAUUGAUAGUUGUUAGAUCUCAUAUGUAG